CGGGAAGUAGCUCAGCUUGGUAGAGCACUUGGUUUGGGACCAAGGGGUCGCAGGUUCAAAUCCUGUCUUCCCGACCA
This 77-nucleotide transfer RNA is filed under the name Sutcliffiella cohnii. Its description in RNAcentral is "tRNA-Pro". It matches the Rfam family "tRNA". From Rfam's summary of the family: Transfer RNA (tRNA) molecules are approximately 80 nucleotides in length. Their secondary structure includes four short double-helical elements and three loops (D, anti-codon, and T loops). The record is from RNAcentral. RNAcentral also lists the same sequence under 91 other names. Lineage: Bacteria; Bacillati; Bacillota; Bacilli; Caryophanales; Bacillaceae.